AUCUACAUAGUUCAAACCAGUCAACUUAUCAGCGUCAAGGAUACCAUGUAAUAAGACUGAAGAUGCCACGAUGUAGAUAUUUAAUCUACAUAAAUUAAAAAUAAUAAUAUAAGCAGACACUCAUGAUGACAUGCAUAACUAGAUGAGAUCUUCUAUUUAGUUACAUCUUUUACUAUUUUAUCGAAUACCAUAGCCUUCACCUCUGGUAAGCGAGAAAUUCUAAUCUAAUUUCUUAAUGGGUUG
RNAcentral lists this long non-coding RNA (243 nucleotides) under Elaeis guineensis (African oil palm). RNAcentral describes it as "long non-coding RNA (EGUI_LNC056517)". The record is from RNAcentral. Lineage: Eukaryota; Viridiplantae; Streptophyta; Magnoliopsida; Arecales; Arecaceae.